This 497-nucleotide ribosomal RNA is filed under the name uncultured bacterium. RNAcentral describes it as "partial 16S ribosomal RNA". It matches the Rfam family "Bacterial small subunit ribosomal RNA", at positions 28 to 507 of the family's 1533-position model. The record is from RNAcentral.
GACGAACGCUGGCGGCGUGCCUAAUACAUGCAAGUAGAACGCUGAAGAGAGAAGCUUGCUCUUCUUGGAUGAGUUGCGAACGGGUGAGUAACGCGUAGGUAACCUGCCUUGUAGCGGGGGAUAACUAUUGGAAACGAUAGCUAAUACCGCAUAACAAUGGAUGACACAUGUCAUUUAUUUGAAAGGGGCAAUUGCUCCACUACAAGAUGGACCUGCGUUGUAUUAGCUAGUAGGUGAGGUAAUGGCUCACCUAGGCGACGAUACAUAGCCGACCUGAGAGGGUGAUCGGCCACACUGGGACUGGGGCACGGCCCAGGCUCCUACGGGAGGCAGCAGUAGGGAAUCUUCGGCAAUGGGGGCAACCCUGACCGAGCAACGCCGCGUGAGUGAAGAAGGUUUUCGGAUCGUAAAGCUCUGUUGUAAGUCAAGAACGGGUGUGAGAGUGGAAAGUUCACACUGUGACGGUAGCUUACCAGAAAGGGACGGCUAACUACGUG